AUCGAAAGCUGGCGGCAGGCCUAACACAUGCAAGUCGAGCGGAGCGGGGGACGGGUGAGUGAGGCCUAGGAAUUUGCAAGGUAGUAGCGGAUAACGUCCGGAAACAGGCGACAUUACCGCCUAAUAGCAGAUGAGCAUAGGUCGGAGUAGCUAGUUGGUGGGGUAAAGGCCUACCAAGGCGAGGCUCCGUAAAUGGUCUGAGAGGAUGAUCAGUCAUAAUGGUACUGAGACACGGUCCAGACUCCGCCGGGAGGCAGCAUGGGUGAACAUUGGACAAUGGCCGAAAGCCUGAUCCAGCCAUGCCGCGUGUGUGAAGAAGGUCUUCGGAUUGUAAAGCUCGUUAAGUUGAGAUGCGGUACCAACAGAAUAAGCAACGGCUAACUCCGUGCCAGCAGCCGCGGUAAUAC
Molecule: ribosomal RNA, 407 nt
Filed under: uncultured bacterium
Lineage: Bacteria
Description: partial 16S ribosomal RNA
Rfam family: Bacterial small subunit ribosomal RNA
Source: RNAcentral